AAGAUUAUCCAUUUGAAAUAUUCGGUACUUUGGCACUGAUAGAAAGUAUUCAGAGAGAAACCGACGACAGACUCAGGUGAAGAAGAAAUUCCACUAAAAAUAUUGAAAAACUCCUACACAGAUCUUUUAUGAACCUAACUGACUGAAGGUGGUGAGUUUGGGUUCUGAUUUUGUCGACUGUUAGAAGACUUGAGAGUAAAUGAAAAGGAUUUUCUUGUGUUCUUACUGAUUAAUGAUUGAAGGGAGGAUUUCAACCUUAUUUCUUUUUGCUCCGAUCAUUUGAACGCAUAUAAUAUCAUCUUCAAUGAUUCAAUCACUCAAUUGUUAUCAAUUUUGUUAUCAAAUUAAGUAUGAAGAACCCAGGGUUUCUUUAGGAUUUGAUUUCAACUCUGCCUGGUACUGAAACAUGAUAGGAUUAGAACUCGAAAUAAAGAUGUGAAUAGUGAAUUCUAUGAAUCUGUGGAACACCGAGAAACUUAGGGUUUCUUUUGAAGCCAUUAAUUUUUUUUAUAAUAAUCUUACUAAUGUAAUUUGAUUUGCCUUCUGCUCCUUACUGUGAUUUUACUAAUACUUCUUAUUUAUAUUUGCAGUAUAACAUAAGAAACGCAGAGCACAAGUUCUAGAGCUACAGCAUCACAGCAAAACAUGUCCAGCUCUUCUUCAGUAACACCAAAGAUGCACCUCACAUUUGACUAAGGUUUGAAGCCCGUGAGAGAUAGUGCUACUAGAUUGUAUACUAGAGCAGGAGAGAUCAUAAGAAUUCAUGUUCCGAUUAACUUCACUGACUGGAGGCUCGUGCCUGAUAAUUUCAAAGAUGAUGUUUGGGAAGCUUUAUUGGGGGAUAGUUUGACUCACGAUCAGAAGACGAACAACUUAUGGUGAUCUCCCAAGUGCUUGCAGCGGACAUUAACAUUGGGUACGAGGGGAUCGUGCAUAUUCAGGUCAGGACAUAGGACCCUACUGACUGCACAAAAUUUUUGGUAACAUGAUAAUGUAGUAUAUGGCAUGGUUGACAGAAGAGCAUGUGAACUUGUGUUUGGACUGAAUUUCUACAAAGGUAAUACAACGCUACAUUUCAUGGUCUCAUUUUUACAUGUUUAAAUGAAUAAUUCUAGGGUUAUUUAACGUAUGGUACCCAAUAAAUGUCCAACACCUAGCUUUGGUACCCAAAAUUUGAAAUAUUAAGCGUGGAUACCUUGACCCGUGAGAGACUGUGAAGUCAAACGGUUGACUUAACCUUUCGGUAACUAAAUAACUAAAAUUAAUAAUAAACAAUAAUUAUUUAACGAAUUGUUUAUGAUCCGUUAGUAUUUGACCCUACGAAUUUAAUCUUGCGGUUAGAAAUCAACCAAUCCAACGGCUCAUGUGAUAGUUUGUGUAUAUGCUUUCAUGCGGUCACAUCUUAUCAUCAUUUUCUUCGUCUUCUUCCAUGCCGACCAACCACCACAAACUCAAUCCAAUCCACUCGAGUUCCACCAUCAAUUAUUCAGCAACAGAAACUAACUCAAACCCAAUACUUCAUUCUCCGCUUCUCAUCAAUCACUAAAGAAACCAAACUCAAAUAUUCUUUCAAACGAACAUCAUUAAUGAUAUAUCAUCAUUGCCAUCUACAAGAACUUCAUCAACUUAGCAGCCAACAUCAAUCAAUGGAAAUAACCAUCAUCAAUAUCUGUCGUAUUUAAUCUCUUCUAACCCAUCACUAAAAAACCAUACGAAACAUGGUAUGGUAUCAGCAACAACGGACUUGGCAGUGGAGCUGAUUGCUCAGGCAUUUAAACAAACACCAUGUAUGUGUUUUAACUGGUGGUGAAUGACAAAAACGGUGAAGUUGUUAUUGAUCUCUUGUUUAGUUUCUUCUCUGCAUUCAUGAAUCCAUACACAAUACAUAAUUCAUAUUAUUCGUACAUGAUUCUCAACCAAGUCCUAAACUAUCAGCAUACCCAAUGAAUUCAUGGCAACUGUUCUUCUUCUUCCUUAUGUUCUUGUUCAAGAGCACUGCCCAAAUUCAACCCAAAUGAUCAUUGCUUUUUAUGUCAGUAUAAUCAUACAUCUUCCUUACUCUUAUCAUCGAAAUGUCACAAUCUCUAACAACAAGCAACAGAAACCCAUCUUUCUCUACCAGGGGUUAGUCCACGAGUGAGUUGGAGGAAGUUUAAUGUAUUUUGAAUCUUGGGAAUUUUGAGGGAGUGGAAGAGAGUAUAGGGAGUUUGAGAGAGUUUGGUG
Long non-coding RNA from Papaver somniferum (opium poppy), 2223 nucleotides. RefSeq lists it as uncharacterized. The record is from RefSeq and is a predicted model, not a curated record. Lineage: Eukaryota; Viridiplantae; Streptophyta; Magnoliopsida; Ranunculales; Papaveraceae. The transcript has 3 exons.